AUUGAACGCUGGCGGCAUGCUUUACACAUGCAAGUCGAACGGCAGCACGGGAGCAAUCCUGGUGGCGAGUGGCGAACGGGUGAGUAAUACAUCGGAACGUGCCCAGUAGUGGGGGAUAGCCCGGCGAAAGCCGGAUUAAUACCGCAUAUGCCCUGAGGGGGAAAGCGGGGGACCGAAAGGCCUCGCGCUAUUGGAGCGGCCGAUGGCUGAUUAGCUAGUUGGUGGGGUAAAGGCCCACCAAGGCGACGAUCAGUAGCUGGUCUGAGAGGACGACCAGCCACACUGGGACUGAGACACGGCCCAGACUCCUACGGGAGGCAGCAGUGGGGAAUUUUGGACAAUGGGCGCAAGCCUGAUCCAGCAAUGCCGCGUGUGCGAAGAAGGCCUUCGGGUUGUAAAGCACUUUUGUUUGGAAAGAAAAGGUCAGUGCUAAUACCACUGGCUGAUGACGGUACCAAUCGAAUAAGCACCGGCUAACUACGUGCCAGCAGCCGCGGUAA
Molecule: ribosomal RNA, 500 nt
Filed under: uncultured bacterium
Lineage: Bacteria
Description: partial 16S ribosomal RNA
Rfam family: Bacterial small subunit ribosomal RNA
Source: RNAcentral